Passer domesticus (house sparrow) is the source of this 7496-nucleotide long non-coding RNA. RefSeq lists it as uncharacterized. The record is from RefSeq and is a predicted model, not a curated record. The transcript has 2 exons. NCBI's taxonomy places the organism in Eukaryota, Metazoa, Chordata, Aves, Passeriformes, Passeridae.
AUUACAUCACCCAAUGACUGAAGCUUUGGCUAUCUUAAAUUUCUUCAUUUCAUGCACUUCAAUCAAGGGAGACCAAAUUCCUAAAGCCAUAUAAUAUCCUUAAAAUAUCCUCAGAGCUACUAUGGCAUGAUAAGUGCAUCCAACGUGGCAAGGAACCACUAUGUUUUAUUAGUAAGCACAGAAGUAAAACUUUGCUGACUGGAUUACUCUUUGGCACAACUACUCAGAGACUGGCUUCUUCUAAAACUCUGUGUGCAUGUCGUGAAACAGCGAUGAGAGAAUGUUAAUGUGUGCAGGAGGACAGAUCCUGCUCACUGUUUCUUCUGCCUGGCACCACAACAUUUACUUUAAGUGUCAAGACAAAAAUUUGUUGCAAAUACAGUCACCAUUUUAUUUUACUGUCACCUGCCUAUACUGGUGGGAUUUUCAACAUCAGCUUAAUUCAUUUCCUAUGAAAAAGUCUUUCCUCCUGGAGAAAGUUAUUUAUACAGAAGAACAAUGACCUAAGUAGCAGUCUGUAUUUUGCAACUACAUAGAGGAACUGCUAUGGUUUUGCACACUGAAGCUUCAUAAAAUAUUUUGGGCUCGUGCUUUUUUAUGUCAUUAUGGAAAAAAAGUCCAAAUAAACAUGUCCAUUGCAGCUGCUCCUUGCAGACAACACCCACUUAGAGCACUGGGAGUUCACCAUGCCAAGGCAAGGCUUUGUAUUUUGGAAAGCAGUCACCACCUCUGUGCAUGAGGGAGUCCAAGAAAAUACUGCAGGUUAAGCAAUCAAAAUGUACUUCAGUUUAAAUUAAAAAUAACCUGCAAACACUUGUAACAGAUUUUAUUUUAAAAGUGUGAAUUUUGAUAAGUUAAGAAAUUUAGCUUAAAAACCUGUGACUGAGGAGACUGGGAAUUUGAAUGUGGAAGAGGCCUGGAAGUUCUUCAAGCCCAUGGUGUUAAAGCUAUCAGGAUUUUAUAUUUCAAGUAAGAAAAAAAAAGGUUGCCAAGUCCUGCACUUCUUCCUAGCAAUCACUUCCAAAGAGAGGUUAGAAAUAGUUUGACAAUCUACAAGGAUUCAAAUAAAGGUCAAAAGGAAGAGCUAUCAAAGAAAGAUAUGCAUGGGGAAAAAAAAAAAGUAAGGAAAAAUGAGCUAUUCAAGUUAGGCCAUACAAAGACUAUUACAAGUUGUACCAAAAGGUUUUUCAGUCAUAUGAAUAAGAAUAGAAGAGGGGGAGAAGCAGCAGGAUCACCAAACAAUGAGGAUAGGAGAGAAAUGUAAGAUAAUUUUCUUUUUAUAGUUAAAUUAAUACCAUGACUCAGUUUUCAGUGAAGGGGAGAGGUGGCUGGCCAUGGACCAGUUAGCAAAUUUGUGGGCAGAAACUACAUCACCUGAAGGUGAAAGCAGAACUCAAAUAACUUAAUGCACUUAAAUCAGAGUCAGCAGGAUAUCUCCAUCCCAGAAUUGUAGCACAAGCACACAGGAUCACAGGUGAACCUGUGAAAAUUUCUUGCAAACCCCAGUCAGACCAAUUCACAUUUUGACAGGACAGAAACAAGUUUGUAGCUAUAUUUAAGAGCAAAUGAAAAAAAAAAUCCCACCAGUUUGAUUUCAAUAGGAUGCAAAACGGUAGAAGUUGUUUUAGAGUUGCAGAGACAGUUGCAUCUUCCACCUCUUUCCAGCACGCAACUACUAAAGAUGUACCAUUCCUGAUUGAGAGAAACUUUCCCUGAAGGAAAAGAACUGAGUUUCAAAAGAAAAAGGGAGUGUAGUACCCUGUUUGGCAGUGUAUCAUGUAUUAUGCCACAUGUAAAAAUUACAUGAGAGCUACAGACAGGCUUUUAUAGUGAGUGAAAAAGAAAGUUAGUUUUAAAAUGAGCAAGAAAUUGGCUACAGCAAAAAGACAUCAAAAUGCCAGAAAGGUGCUAACAGACUUCUUAAUAGAUUUACCUUAGAGCUCAGUUCAGCAUAUAUUCUCAUUAAUGCCGUUCCUGUGGGAACUUAAAGUCUCCCAAAGCCAUUUGUAGAAGACAUAAAACUGGGAAGCACAUCUAUGUGGGAAAGAGGAUUACAAGGCCACGCAGGAAGAGCUGCACAAAUCUUGUAAUGCAGAGUGUCACACAUGAAAUUGAAUUCAGUAAUGAACAGGACACUUGGGGAGUUCAUCAGUUAGAAACUGCAAUGGAGGAAACGCUUGGGGCUAUCAGCUGCUCCACAAGAAAACACCAGCCAUCAAUAUGAACUGGCUGCAAAACAAGCAAAGCCCAGGGUAUAUCAAACCUGACAAAACAAACUGGUUGAUUGACCUCACUUACUGGGAGGAGUGUGGUUGACAUCAGGACUCUGUGAAACUAAAGGGCAAUGCCAAUUUAUGCCCAAUAGGAACAAAUUAGCCCUGAGCACACCCAAGCCAGAAGUCAGGCACACAUUUCCAAGAAGAAAACAGUCAACAGGAGUAUUUGAACAACUUACAGUGCAAGAGACAGCAAAAUAUUUUCUAAACACAUAUUCUACAGUCUAGCAGAAAGCUGAACUAGCUCAUCAGAAAGGUCCCUUUCAAUCAUACACUCUAUUUAAUGGUACAGAAAUAAAGCCCAAGCUCAUGGGAGAAGGUAUCUUUUAGGAGAUCAGCUAAUACAGAUGGGAAACAAACACCACGUCUGGAGAAGCACAAACCCUCUCAGCUUUGCUUACUAUUAGCUAUGUUCACAAUCUGUGACAUAUCACAUGUCAGAGUGACAAGUAAGACAAUGAGGGUAACUCAAUUAAUCCAUUAAUCAUCUUAAUGGGCUAAGGGAAUCCUAUAGGACCACAGCAACCCUGCUAUUUAACAAGUUCACACCACAGAAUGGAUCUGCUCCCUAACCCACACCCAACCCAGGCUGACUGCAGGGGCUGAAUUACCAUCUCUGUAAAUGCUGAGAUUCUGAUUAUUUCAAAAGACAGUUGAAUAGGGAGCUUUUGCAUUGGAAGAGUUCUCAUGACACUGAAUUACACAGAAUUACCCCCAAAGAGUUCAAUCAAGAAGGUAAUUAGAAAAGUAGAGUUGUUUUGAUCUAUAUAUUAAAGUAGUUAUAGUUAUGACAUUAAAGAACUGACUUUAAGAGCAAAUAUCCAAGAGCAAGAAAGAUACAAACACUUGGAAAAAGAGAACUAAGUCAGCAAGGCACUUUGCCUCUCUUGCCUAAUCCAAGCCCAAAAUGUAUUGGGCAGGUGCAUCAAUAUUGCAAUAGCUACUUUAAAACCAUCAUGGAUCCAGCUGCUCCUUAAUUUCCAAGUACCGUUAUGCAUUUUAAAAGAUUAUUUUAUGAAACAUAGAUUCUUAAAAUACAAGUAAAAAUACGACUGAAACUGAAGAAGCUUGAGAAAGCACAGCUGAUGUUAGAGUUUGCUGUAGCAAUGCAAUAUGCAAAGACAGACUCCUUUUCUGCUACCCCUGAAGUACUUGAGCAUGACAUGGUAACGACCUCACUUGAGCAUUAUCCUGUUUUCCGUGCAUUUAAAUCAGAUUUUGUUCAAUUUCUACCAGACAGGUACACAGAGAUCUCAAAGCAGGUCACAGGAACAAGAUUUGUUCUCAGGAAGUUUUGAAGCUCGCUCACAACCAAAAGUGUUCGAAUAUCACAAGGCAUGACAAUGAGUCAGAGAGGGGCAAAAGCAGAACAAACACCUCAUGUGCUCCAGCUCUCAUUAUUUGAACCAAUUCUAGCUGGGACAGCAAGUGUCAGGCACCUGCUCACACCAACAGCACACAAUUUCAAAUACACAGUAAUAGUCACGACUUGGUUUUACAGCUCAGCCACAAAGACAAUGACUCCAAGUGCUCCUCAGCUCUGGGCACAAGGGCACUGUGACACACUUCGCAUCAUCAGGAAGAACAAAACCCAUUAAGUAAUGUGGGAACUCAGCACAUCACUCCGGAUGUCCAGAGCUACCAAGACAACCCUUGGGGGGCUCGGAAGUCCUGGAAUGUUGCCAAAAGUGUCUGGUGGCUUGACUUUGACCCUUCUAAAGAAGUGUCACCUGAGUGUGAGGAGAUGAGAGAAUUUCAAGUUUGAAUGGUGAGGGGAUGAUAUUCACUGGGUGAAACAUAGAUUUUAAUGCACUGUACAGGGGGGUUUUGAGUGUUGUACAGGGGGGUUGGAAUCCUGUACAUGGGAGUCAGGAGUCCCAAGAUGGAGGGAUUUGGGCGUGCCCUGUCCUUCUUCUUUCUUCUCCCUGGCAUCCAUGUUCAGGAUGAUGUUGGCACGUGUGGAUUGGUUCAUGGUGAAGGUACACUUGUUAACAAGGGUGAAAAGUAUUGAAAAUAGAAGGUAAAUAUCUAAUACAUAGUUUUCACUAUAAAAGACACAGCCGCCCCGUGGGUGGGAGAGAGUGCUUUUGGCUGCCUUGCUGAUCAGACCUCGGCUGGGCAGACAGAAAAACUUUGUAGAUAAGAAAUAAUAAACACAACCAAAGACCGAAAACUCCAGAGUCCAGACUCCUUCUUCAAAGCGCGGCCUGCCCAGAACCACCUUUUCCUGUGCUGGGGCAGAGACAAGCGACAGCCGACCCCGACAAAGUAAGAGACACCAUUCCCUGCUGCACACUCACACAUCCAGCUGGUUCUCUCAUGAGCAGUCAGUCUCACCCAGCCUCAGAAAGUCACUCUCCACAUAAAGAAUACAGGCAUUUGAAUUGGAAAAAGCCUGUGUAGUUUUGCCAAAGACAAAACUGAUUUCUAACUCAUUUAAUGAACUGGUAAGGUUGUAUGAACAUGAGAAAUGUCUGUCUGGUUCAGUGGUACCACUCUGAGGCACCCAUGAACUCCUGCACAGUGCCUGCAGAGAGUAAAUGAGCAGAGGAAACUCAAUAUUACUGUAAAGAUUCCAUGCAUGACCUGGAAGAUUUUUAGGGGUCCACAAAGACAAAAAGGUUGAAAAACUCUAGUCAUAGAAGCCUUUUUCAUCAACAGCUAUUCUGCAAACUCUGCUUCUAUAUUUAAAACACAGUAAAAAUACAAUUAAUUAUAAAUUGACUGGUAAUUUACUUAUUAGAAGCUUGGAAAAAAGCUCACUCAUUCCAGAUAAUGUCAGUAAGUUUCUACAUGAAUGUCUACACUUCUAUUAAUUCUGAGACAUCUCACUUUCUGUUUAUUAUUUGACAAUGUGUUAAUGGAACUGAAUUUCCACUUAGACUCUUUCCUAAGAAUUCACAACUCAUUCAGAAUCCACCCAUACGGACUGCAGAUAUCUGGAGACUUUUUGCCUUUCUUUUCUGAGAAAGAGAUUGUGAGAAAUCACAUCCAAACAGGCAAGGACUACAUCCAUCACAGCAGGCAAAAAUUAACCACCUCAAAAUUACAUGCAGUUUCUCCAGGGAGGUGAGGUGACCUAUGCACUGAUCUGGACAGUCAGUUAUGCUGUCAGUUAAGUCAGAGAUUGAGAAUAAAUGAGCUUCUGCAAUGAGUUAACACAGACACACAGGCACUACAAGGACUAUUGCAUUCCAGCUGAUGGUAUUCUGCACCCUUGACUGGAUAUGAAGCCUCUCAAGGAGAAAACUGAAACUUAAAAUCAGCAAGAAGAGCUGAUCACCUGGCAAAAUUCAGAAUGCAAAUAAAUAUGAAAAUCACUCAUCCUACAUGCAAGCAAAAAGAAGAACAAACAAACCAUCACCACCAAAAUGCUACAGGCACAUCCCUUGUCCUGUGACUACACCACUUGAACUAGAAACUGAGAUGCAGAAUAGACUGCAGAAUUUUAUAACCAUAAUAAUGGCCUUUGCAGCUCUACCAGACACAACCAAAAUGUCUGUCCUUGUACUUCAAUGCCAAGAAGAAAGUUUCCUUUAUUUCUCUCUGCCACUAUGUUGUAGUAGAGACUUUUAAAAUAAAGAUAUAAAUUCAUUUAGAUUUUAACUUCAAUCAGAGAGGAUUUUUUCUGUAAGUAAUUUUCAAAAGCCAUAACGACUACAAUACUGUUGGAUGUGACAGGCUUCUAGAGACUAACCAGAGCCUGGAAAAGUAAGAACAUUACAUAUAAUUCCCCUAACCAACAAGAGAAGCAGCUCCAGAAACUAAAAGUCACCCUCCUUGCCAGCCGAAGAAGUGCACAACAGCAGCUGGCAAGCAAGAAGAACAGCAUAAAAGGAAAGGUGAUGAGCUCAUGAGCUAAUAGGAGAAAGAACAUGCUGCUGUCUGUGGCUCUCUGGAAGUGCCACACAGGAGCUGUGAACAGCUACACUGGUAAACAAAUUACCACUGGACCAGGAUGCUUUGCAUGUGGAUUUCCAGAAAAUAAAGAAACAAAGCCACAAAACACUGAUUUCUUGUGUACUGACUUUGACUGUCUUGAAGGAACUCAUCUUCCUGACUCUAAAUUAUAAACUCACACCUAAAUUUUUUGUCAAACAUAUCAAGAAAUAGUAAUUGUUUCCUCUUUUUUCCUCUGAUUCUCUGCAGACAGUGAUGGCUAUCACACUCCCAGCCUGUGCCAGAUCAGAAAUUUAAUCUACAUGCACUGGAAAAUAAAAAUAAUCUUCAAGUCUCAGUCCUCUCAUACACCAUCACAAAGUGUUCAAACCAACUCAAGCAACAGCCACUGUGCCAGCUGAGGCAGAACUGCUCCUCUCCCUCUGCUCCUUUCCAGCAGCCCCCAGAGAACAGGGAUUCAGGGCUCAGGAUCUCCAGAUCCUUUUCAGUAUCCUUUCUGCUUCCCAGGCAGCAGCAACAGAGCAGGGGAACCUCUGACCCUGCCCACUGUCACCAAACCCACCCACGAGGCAUCCUCGCUCCCCUGCACGAGCAUCGAGCUGAUUAAUUAGCUGGAAAGUUUCCACAGGAUUUCUAACAGCAAAGGAGGAUGAGCAAGGGAGGGGAUCAAGAGUUAGAACUAGGAAAUGAUGCUAAAAACCAGCUCUGCAGGGAGGAGGUCUAAGAAAAGUGUGGGAAAACCUGUGAAAGGACAUGAAAAAUCCAGCACAGGAGUUACCCGGACAGGAGUUGUGGUGGAGAAUGGAGCAAAUGAAAACUCUAAGUGGUGAAAACUCAAAAAGCAAGAAUGAAAAAUAGAAAUUCAACAUCUCUUGUGGUUUUUAUUGUAGAGAAACAGACAAAUAGUGCUCAGCAAGUAAAUUAUUCUGUAAAUUCCACUAAUUUUCUUUUUCCACAGCUAUUGUGACCAACUGAAUAGCUGUGCAAGUAUUCCCAGAAUGAUGACAACAUUCAUCACACUGGAGAUACCAAAACACAGCCUAUCUGACCCGCCAUUAGGAUGCUAGUGGAAAAUACAUUACAAGUGAAAUUCUGCAAGCAAGAGACAACAGAGAACUAUCAUAUUUCACCCUUUUGAGCUGCACAGGGAGGAGGGAAGGUUUUUCACAGCAUAUUCGUGCUUGCAUUUGUCAGCUAGCUUGGGGGCAUGUAAACUGCCUUUCAACACUCUCUCUCUGCUCGAAGAAUACCCUCCUGUAUGAUUUAAACCUCAAACUUGCAUUCAAUGAACUCCAAAUAUAUCUUUCCACAUAAAUGCAA